RNAcentral lists this unclassified non-coding RNA (251 nucleotides) under Hevea brasiliensis (rubber tree). Lineage: Eukaryota; Viridiplantae; Streptophyta; Magnoliopsida; Malpighiales; Euphorbiaceae. The record is from RNAcentral.
GAACUCUGAUGGGUAAUUAAAUUGAACAGGGUAAAAAGUGGGGCUAUUAUGUGCACCAUAUGGAGGAGAAAGCACUGCAGAGCCAUUUUCAACAUAAUAAAAUUGAAUGCAUUUAAUGCAAUUUUCAUCCUGAGAAAUAAAAAUUUGGCAGAUUUCCCCAUGGCCCUUCUCAUCCCAAACGGUCCCGCCGGAGUAUAUUCCUACCGGUACACUUUGUAUCUUGAUCAUCUUGAUGGCAGAUCACGAUUGUA